AUUGAACGCUGGCGGCAUGCCUUACACAUGCAAGUCGAACGGCAGCACGGGUGCUUGCACCUGGUGGCGAGUGGCGAACGGGUGAGUAAUACAUCGGAACAUGUCCUGUAGUGGGGGAUAGCCCGGCGAAAGCCGGAUUAAUACCGCAUACGAUCUACGGAUGAAAGCGGGGGACCUUCGGGCCUCGCGCUAUAGGGUUGGCCGAUGGCUGAUUAGCUAGUUGGUGGGGUAAAGGCCUACCAAGGCGACGAUCAGUAGCUGGUCUGAGAGGACGACCAGCCACACUGGGACUGAGACACGGCCCAGACUCCUACGGGAGGCAGCAGUGGGGAAUUUUGGACAAUGGGCGAAAGCCUGAUCCAGCAAUGCCGCGUGUGUGAAGAAGGCCUUCGGGUUGUAAAGCACUUUUGUCCGGAAAGAAAUCCUUGGCUCUAAUACAGUCGGGGGAUGACGGACCGAA
This 460-nucleotide ribosomal RNA is filed under the name Burkholderia cepacia. Its description in RNAcentral is "bacterial SSU rRNA". It matches the Rfam family "Bacterial small subunit ribosomal RNA", at positions 30 to 482 of the family's 1533-position model. Lineage: Bacteria; Pseudomonadati; Pseudomonadota; Betaproteobacteria; Burkholderiales; Burkholderiaceae. The record is from RNAcentral.